CGGUUUGUCGCGUCUGCCGUGAAAGUCCGGGGCUCAACUCCGGAUCUGCGGUGGGUACGGGCAGACUAGAGUGAUGUAGGGGAGACUGGAAUUCCUGGUGUAGCGGUGAAAUGCGCAGAUAUCAGGAGGAACACCGAUGGCGAAGGCAGGUCUCUGGGCAUUAACUGACGCUGAGGAGCGAAAGCAUGGGGAGCGAACAGGAUUAGAUACCCUGGUAGUCCAUGCCGUAAACGUUGGGCACUAGGUGUGGGGGACAUUCCACGUUUUCCGCGCCGUAGCUAACGCAUUAAGUGCCCCGCCUGGGGAGUACGGCCGCAAGGCUAAAACUCAAAGGAAUUGACGGGGGCCCGCACAAGCGGCGGAGCAUGCGGAUUAAUUCGAUGCAACGCGAAGAACCUUACCAAGGCUUGACAUGGGCCGGAUCGCCGCAGAGAUGUGGUUUCCCUUCGGGGCCGGUUCACAGGUGGUGCAUGGUUGUCGUCAGCUCGUGUCGUGAGAUGUUGGGUUAAGUCCCGCAACGAGCGCAACCCUCGUUCCAUGUUGCCAGCGGGUUAUGCCGGGGACUCAUGGGAGACUGCCGGGGUCAACUCGGAGGAAGGUGGGGACGACGUCAAAUCAUCAUGCCCCUUAUGUCUUGGGCUUCACGCAUGCUACAAUGGCCGGUACAAAGGGUUGCGAUACUGUGAGGUGGAGCUAAUCCCAAAAAGCCGGUCUCAGUUCGGAUUGAGGUCUGCAACUCGACCUCAUGAAGUCGGAGUCGCUAGUAAUCG
Molecule: ribosomal RNA, 770 nt
Filed under: uncultured bacterium
Lineage: Bacteria
Description: bacterial SSU rRNA
Rfam family: Bacterial small subunit ribosomal RNA
Source: RNAcentral